RNAcentral lists this long non-coding RNA (400 nucleotides) under Gadus morhua (Atlantic cod). Its description in RNAcentral is "lncRNA (ENSGMOG00000034081.1)". The record is from RNAcentral. Lineage: Eukaryota; Metazoa; Chordata; Actinopteri; Gadiformes; Gadidae.
GAACUGUUGUGUCCUAAACCACGUGACGGUUGAAGAUAUUCUGUGGCCUGUUUGUUUUUCCGUUUCUGAUCACGUGACCAGAAGAGAAAAGAGCAAACGAAAAAAAAUUAAAACAGACCCACUUUGGAAGUACCGCUGGAAUAAACCGGAAAUGGGACUAGGAGACCGACCAAUCAGGAAGGCGUCUUGGGGAAGUCCUCAACCAGUUGACCCACCCCAUCAACUCCUCCCCCGCUGGGCCACCAAGAGAAGCUCCCAGGAGGAGCCAGAGAGAGAGAGAGAGAUCAGCCCACUGGAUCCGGUCCUCGACCGCCCAUAAUAACUGCCACCCACUUCAGAAAGCUGUGCCUUCAACCACUCGUUGAUAUUCGACGCUUUUCUAUUCAUUCAUUUAUUGGUU